UACGAAGGGGGCUAGCGUUGCUCGGAAUCACUGGGCGUAAAGGGUGCGUAGGCGGGUCUUUAAGUCAGGGGGGAAAUCCUGGAGCUCAACUCCAGAACUGCCUUUGAUACUGAAGAUCUUGAGUUCGGGAGAGGUGAGUGGAACUGCGAGUGUAGAGGUGAAAUUCGUAGAUAUCCGCAAGAACACCAGUGGCGAAGGCGGCUCACUGGCCCGAUACUGACGCUGAGGCACGAAAGCGUGGGGAGCAAACAGG
Molecule: ribosomal RNA, 253 nt
Filed under: uncultured bacterium
Lineage: Bacteria
Description: partial 16S ribosomal RNA
Rfam family: Bacterial small subunit ribosomal RNA
Source: RNAcentral